This 652-nucleotide ribosomal RNA is filed under the name Triticum aestivum (bread wheat). RNAcentral describes it as "partial small subunit ribosomal RNA". Lineage: Eukaryota; Viridiplantae; Streptophyta; Magnoliopsida; Poales; Poaceae. The record is from RNAcentral.
GGGGCACGGAUGAGAAGAGGAGCUGAGGUGGAGCGGUGGUGCAGGGUGCUGCGAUCUGGCGUCGGUUGGCGACUGGCGCGACACCGGGUCGAGCGUCGCGCAGGGUAUGUCGGUUGGACGCAGAGGUGGUCGGGGUAGGUCUUGGCACGGCUGGGCCUUGUGCUCGCUGCGCUGGAGGCGCGCCUCCCUCGAGCACAGGAACAGGAGGCAGGCGACGAGCUACAGGAGCUCCAUGCUGGAGGUCAUCGCAGGUUGGGCGGCCCCGGAUCGGGUAGAGGAGGUGGAGGGCGCGCAGAUCCCGUAGGGAGGCGCCGGAUCUGGCCAGUGGAGGUCACGUGGCGGCGUUCGAACCUCGAGCUCGAGGACUGGGCAUCCAUGGCCCUGGCACUGAUCUCCUGGAGACAAGGAGAUAAAAGGAGAUUAGAGAGAGAGGGGAAAGAGAGAAGGCAGGGGAGCGGCGGCGUGACCUGGGUGGUCGCCGGCAACGGCGCCGGUCGCCGGACGACGCGCGAGGGAGGCAGAGGAGGAGGCGCACGGGAGGAGGAGCUCAGGGUCGGGCGCUGGUGGUGGCGGCGUACCGGCGGCGACAGCACUCGGGCCUGGGCGGGCCGGAUUUCUCACUUUAACCGCAGAUUGAAUUUCGAAUACCGCA